CUAACAUCUGGUACUCAAGGAGAACCCGUGAGGGAAAAUAAACUUGAGUGGAAAAUCAGUUCUUUGGCUAGAGAGCUACUAAGAAUUCUGAUCCUUGUUUAACAAAUGGUGUAAUUCAGGAGGAGGAUUCCACAGCCAUAAAGGUGGGAGAUUGGCAGAUCCUGCAAGCUGGGCAACAGUGUGGGCUACAGCGUUUCCCUCUCUGGGAGUCCAGGCUUCUAUCAGGGAUAAACAAUCAGAUUCAAAAUGGACCUUUUGCAGUACAACCUUCUUUUCCGUGCCCAUAUGCUUCACCGUUCGCUUCCCUGAAGAUGUAAGAAACAAUAAUACACUCCAACUCACCCAUCCAAUUGUAUAGUCUCAUACCUAUCCAGUCUCAGAAUACCUCUUGCUCGAAUGCAAGAUCGGUUCAUUCAUGUGACCCUCUGCCUAGAAGCCUUCCAGGAGCCACUCCUUGUCCGUGCCUCACUGCACCAGCGAUAACUCCCCGCCCUCGUCGAGCCCGGGUGUCACAUUCAUCUUUGAAUUGAAACCAAGAUCUGUCUCACCCCUUAUGAGACUUGGGCCUAUUUCUUUAUUACUAGAAUUCAUAGAUCUUGUUAUCACUUAAAGACUGUAGAGGCAUUCAGAUCCAAUUUUGAGGGAGGUUUUGCUGAAUCUUGAGCUAUGCAAUUGUUGAGAAUUCAAGUGUAGAGUUGGAGUCCCACAUUUGUUAAGUUUGGAUGAGGAGAAGACUUUAUAAGAGAUGUGACCCAUAAACCUAAUGCCUUAAGAUUUUGGGUUAAGAUGUGGCGUCGAUAUCUUUUGGUUUCUUGCUUCUCGACUCAUGGGCUCCCUUGUCUCCCCCCAACAAGUGGUAUCAGAGUCGAUGGUUCGUGGGACCAAGGUAACGACUCCUUGUGUCGAAAGUAUUCCUAGUAGUGUGGCUAGGCGGCGAGUUUCGUUGAGCAGCGAACGACGGUACAAGGGUGGAUAACUUCCGCAGAGGGGAGCCAUGAUAAUGUGGUGGUUACUCGCACUUGAGGGGGAGAUUGUUGAGAAUUCAAGUUCGAAGUUGGAGUCCCACAUUGGUUAAGUUUGGGUGAGGAGAAGACUUUAUGAGAGAUGUGAUCCAUAAACCUAAUGCCUUAAGGUUUUGGGUUAAGAUGUGGCGUCGAUAUCUCUUGGUGUCUUGCUCCUCAGCCCAUGAGCUCCCCUAUCUCUCACAACAACAAUCGUGUGUGCAAAUUUGUUCCUAGAUCUUGUCACCUAGAUAAAACCCCAAUAUCUUAUAUCCCUUACAAUUUGUUCAA
Lotus japonicus is the source of this 1292-nucleotide long non-coding RNA. RefSeq lists it as uncharacterized. NCBI's taxonomy places the organism in Eukaryota, Viridiplantae, Streptophyta, Magnoliopsida, Fabales, Fabaceae. The record is from RefSeq and is a predicted model, not a curated record. The transcript has 2 exons.